RNAcentral lists this ribosomal RNA (506 nucleotides) under uncultured bacterium. RNAcentral describes it as "partial 16S ribosomal RNA". It matches the Rfam family "Bacterial small subunit ribosomal RNA", at positions 29 to 523 of the family's 1533-position model. The record is from RNAcentral.
AGUGAGCGCUGGCGGUAGGCCUAACACAUGCAAGUCGAACGGCAGCACAGAGGAGCUUGCUCCUUGGGUGGCGAGUGGCGGACGGGUGAGGAAUACAUCGGAAUCUACUCUGUCGUGAGGGAUAACGUAGGGAAACUUACGCUAAUACCGCAUACGACCUACGGGUGAAAGCAGGGGACCUUCGGGCCUUGCGCGAUUGAAUGAGCCGAUGUAGGAUUAGCUAGUUGGCGGGGUAAAGGCCCACCAAGGCGACGAUCCGUAGCUGGCCUGAGAGGAUGAUCAGCCACACUGGAACUGAGACACGGUCCAGACUCCUACGGGAGGCAGCAGUGGGGAAUAUUGGACAAUGGGCGCAAGCCUGAUCCAGCCAUACCGCGUGGGUGAAGAAGGCCUUCGGGUUGUAAAGCCCUUUUGUUGGGAAAGAAAUCCAGCUGGCUAAUACCCGGUUGGGAUGACGGUACCCAAAGAAUAAGCACCGGCUAACUUCGUGCCAGCAGCCGCAGUAA